Molecule: non-coding RNA, 240 nt
Filed under: Candidatus Collierbacteria bacterium GW2011_GWA1_42_60
Lineage: Bacteria; Candidatus Collieribacteriota
Also listed under: 1 other name
Description: self-splicing intron
Rfam family: Group I catalytic intron
About the family: Group I catalytic introns are large self-splicing ribozymes. They catalyse their own excision from mRNA, tRNA and rRNA precursors in a wide range of organisms.
Source: RNAcentral
CUAAGUCGUUUGUGCAUACUGCACGUUGCGACUAUAGAGAGUAAUUUCUAUUUAAAAAUCUUGCUGUAUCGGUGAAGCCUAACUAUUCGGUAUAUCUUUUCGAUAUAUUGGAUAUAUGGUAAUACCGAGGGAACCUUUUUCCGAAACAUCGGAAUUUGGACUCCGUAGAGACUACACGCGAGCACCUUUUCACAUUAGGAAAAGGUUGAAGAUAUAGUCCAUGCCCGUAGAAAUACGCGG